RNAcentral lists this ribosomal RNA (253 nucleotides) under uncultured bacterium. RNAcentral describes it as "partial 16S ribosomal RNA". It matches the Rfam family "Bacterial small subunit ribosomal RNA", at positions 524 to 776 of the family's 1533-position model. The record is from RNAcentral.
UACGUAGGGUGCGAGCGUUAAUCGGAAUUACUGGGCGUAAAGGGCGCGUAGGCGGCUUGCUAAGUCGGACGUGAAAUCCCCCGGCUCAACCGGGGAAAUGCGCGUGAUACUGGCGGGCUUGAGAUCGGGAGGGGUGAAUGGAACUCCAGGUGGAGCGGUGAAAUGCGUAGAUAUCUGGAGGAACACCGGUGGCGAAAGCGGUUCACUGGCCCGACACUGACACUGAGGUGCGAAAGCUAGGGUAGCAAACGGG